RNAcentral lists this long non-coding RNA (1124 nucleotides) under Gouania willdenowi (blunt-snouted clingfish). RNAcentral describes it as "lncRNA (ENSGWIG00000008871.1)". The record is from RNAcentral. Lineage: Eukaryota; Metazoa; Chordata; Actinopteri; Blenniiformes; Gobiesocidae.
AGGAAGUUGCAGUCAAAAUUGUAACUGUUGCUAUGGCGACCUGUGUAAACAUUCUUUUUAAUGAGAGAACAGGAAGUUGCAGUCAAAAUUGUAACUGUUGCUAUGGCGACCUGUGUAAACAUUCUUUUUAAUGAGAGAAUCAGCUCACAAGUGCAGGCUUCAGUUUGACUUUGGAAGCACAGACAGUAGGAGCUAAGCCAGAGAAGAGGAUAUUAUCUUUCUUUAAAAAUCACAAAGCAACUGAUACGAUGGGUAAGAAGAAGACACGCAAAGGUCGUUACCAAGCUGUGGCCAAGAAGCCUGAGAACAAUUCAUCUGAGGCUCCACCUCCUAAACAUCCAGUCAAGGAUAGCCCUGAGGAACCUGAACUGAACAAAUCCAUGUUCUUUCGUGAAUCAAAGCGUUCACCUAGUGCUGAUGCAAAACCAGAUAAAAGAUUGGAUGGAGUUGCUUCAUCGAAGAAGGUUGUAAGGAACAAAGAGGAACAGGCCAGAAACCCAUCUCCACACCUCCAAUGUCUGGUUGAUGCCACCAAUGAGUCUCAGGAUGUUACCAGCCCCGAAGACCAGGUGGGGCGUAUUGAAGAAUCUGGAACUUCCACCCAGGAGCUCACACAGCUCAGUUCUUCAAUGGCCCCGGUACCAGAAAACCAGAAGAGUCUACAGACCCAAAGGGUGAAACAAAUGGAGGACCAACAGAACCUCUGGAAGACCGAAUUAAUGAAUCACCAACAUAAUAUUGAUUAUCUGCUGGAAGAACAGAAGAAGGACAUGGAUGUCCUCAAAGAGUCUCUGGCCCAGCUCCAUCAAAGCCUGGAGGACCAGCAGAGGCAAGGGCAGAAAGCCUGGGACAGCAUCUUGGAAACACAGGAGGAACACAAGAAUAUUCUCCUCCAGCUUUACACUGAGCUGAUGAACAAGACAGAUGAUCGUCCCAAAAAGAAAUCUUUUUUUCAGCGACUCAUCAAAAAUGUGACAAAGCUCAUCAAAAAUGUGAUAAAGAAGAUUAAAAACCUCUUUUGAUUGGCUACAAGCAGUCACCACUAGAACAUGGGUCACAGGGAGCAACUCUGCAGCUAGGGGGGCAACCAUUGGAAGGUGGACCAUCCUAAAAUAAACAGCAAC